This 484-nucleotide ribosomal RNA is filed under the name uncultured bacterium. Its description in RNAcentral is "partial 16S ribosomal RNA". It matches the Rfam family "Bacterial small subunit ribosomal RNA", at positions 30 to 507 of the family's 1533-position model. The record is from RNAcentral.
AUUGAACGCUGGCGGCAGGCCUAACACAUGCAAGUCGAGCGGAUGAAGGGAGCUUGCUCCUGGAUUCAGCGGCGGACGGGUGAGUAAUGCCUAGGAAUCUGCCUGGUAGUGGGGGCUAACGUCCGGAAACGGGCGCUAAUACCGCAUACGUCCUGAGGGAGAAAGUGGGGGAUCUUCGGACCUCACGCUAUCAGAUGAGCCUAGGUCGGAUUAGCUAGUUGGUGGGGUAAAGGCCUACCAAGGCGACGAUCCGUAACUGGUCUGAGAGGAUGAUCAGUCACACUGGAACUGAGACACGGUCCAGACUCCUACGGGAGGCAGCAGUGGGGAAUAUUCGACAAUGGGCGAAAGCCUGAUCCAGCCAUGCCGCGUGUGUGAAGAAGGUCUUCGGAUUGUAAAGCACUUUAAGUUGGGAGGAAGAGCAGUAAGUUAAUGCCUUGCUGUUUUGACGGUACCAACAGAAUAAGCACCGGCUAACUUCGUG